CUUCUUGCUGUCUGCUGAUCUGGAUGUAGAACUCUCUCAGCUACCUCUCCAGCACCAUGUCUGCCUGCCCGCCACCAUGCUUCCUUCCAUGAUAAUAAUGGACUAAACCUCCAAAGUGCGUGAAGAGGGUUAUUUGUGUGGCCAGAUGCCUAAAGAUGACAAGAAAGAACAAGACUGAUGGGGAGAUGCUGGGAAAGAGCUUCCUGGCUCUGAUAAAGGAAUCAGGACCCUUAGAGAUUGGCUGCUCAAUCCUGGAUGUCUCACCUUCCAGAACCAUAAGCCUAAGAAAGCUGCCUUCCUUUAGAAGUUACUCAGGCCCAACUAUUCCCCACAGAAAUGCUUACAGCCCAUCACCAAGGGAGCUAAGGCAGAAACUCAAGUGAGAACCCUGAAGCUGGGAACUGAAGCAGAGACAGGCCACAGAGGAAAGCUGUUUCCUGGCUGUCUCAGCCUGCUUUCUCAUACAAUCCAGGACCACCUGCCAGGGAUGGCACUGCCCACAAUCAUUAAUCAAGACAAUGCCUCACAGACAUGCCCAGUGGACAGUCUGAUGGUGGCAGUUCCUCAAUGGAGAUUCCUUCUUCCCAGAUGACUCCAGUUUGUGUCAAGUUGAAAAGAAGAAGAAGAAGAAGAAGAAGAAGAAGAAGAAGAAGAAGAAGAAGAAGAAGAAGAAGAAGAAGACGCUAACUAACCAAUACAGCUCAGUACAACUUCAGAGGCAACUCCAGUAAAAGUGUGACUAUCAGCAGGCAGAUGUCAUUAGAGGCAUCUUAGGGCUGCUAAAACCCCUAAUGGAAUAGAGUAUGAACACACAAUCUCCCACUGGGCAGCCAACUCCCAAGCAAAAUUCAAGAUGGGAGAAGAGCCAAGGGGGCAACCGGAAUUCUCUGCCUCAACUCUAUUUGUUACAUAAAGACUUCUCAUAUACUAUAUAUAUUCUGAUUUCUAGAUCAUAGUACCUAUACCCCCAAGGAUUCUUCCUCUUAUGGAAAAUGUCAAAUUCCCACACAGAAAGCUUCUUAAAAACCCGGAGGGGAAGCCCGGCAGUGGUAGGGCAUGUCUUUAAUUCCCCACUUGGAAGGCAGAGACGGGUGGAUCUCCAUGAGUUUGAGACCAGCCUGGUCUGCAGAGUGAGUUCCAGGACAGCCUGGACUGUUACACAGAGAAACCUUGUCUCUAAAAAACAAAAACAAAAACAAAACCAACAAAAAAAAAAUAAAAACCCAGGUGUAGGAAGGGAGCUUCCAUUUGGAAGAAGAAAGACUCUUUCUGCAUUGCUGAACUCUAUGGAUGAUUCACACGUGCUGUUGACGUACUUACAUGUGUUAGCUAAGCUGAGAUGCAAAUCUUCUUAUGCUUUCCCAAACUUUUCCAAAAGGCCACAGAUGCUGUGGGUUUGGAAGCACAGCUCUUCAGGUUUUACUCUCUACAUUAGGUGUGAUCCAGAUGGUGAAAUAGAGUAAGUGGGUCUUAGGAAUGUGGCUUCUUUAUUCCCAUGCUUGUUUAUAGGGAGUGACAUAACACAGCUCCAGGCAUUGUGAUACCUCUUUUACUUACAUUGGCUAAUGUAAACCAUAUCCUGGUUUACAUAUGCUCUCCUAAAUCCUGGUCUGACAUGUGCCCAGGUCAUUCCUCUUAGUGCUCCGUCACAGGAAGAAAAUGCAAGGUUUCCAUGUAUUUUUAUUAGUCUCACGGUUGCUAGUCAUUUUGGCAUUGAGUUUAGGCAGGGGUACACGCAAAGCAGUUGGUGUGAGGUUUUCAUUUUUAUUUUUUAAAGACUUAUUUGUUCACUUUUAUUUAUGUGUAUGUGUGUACCUGCC
Molecule: long non-coding RNA, 1820 nt
Filed under: Cricetulus griseus (Chinese hamster)
Lineage: Eukaryota; Metazoa; Chordata; Mammalia; Rodentia; Cricetidae
Description: lncRNA (ENSCGRG00015037215.1)
Source: RNAcentral